Molecule: ribosomal RNA, 253 nt
Filed under: uncultured Lachnospiraceae bacterium
Lineage: Bacteria; Bacillati; Bacillota; Clostridia; Lachnospirales; Lachnospiraceae
Description: partial 16S ribosomal RNA
Rfam family: Bacterial small subunit ribosomal RNA
Source: RNAcentral
UACGUAGGGGGCAAGCGUUAUCCGGAUUUACUGGGUGUAAAGGGAGCGUAGACGGCUAAUCAAGUCAGAAGUGAAAACCCAGGGCUCAACCUUGGGACUGCUUUUGAAACUGAGUAGCUAGAGUGCAGGAGAGGUAAGCGGAAUUCCUAGUGUAGCGGUGAAAUGCGUAGAUAUAAGGAAGAACACCAGUGGCGAAGGCGGAUGACUGGACGGCAACUGACGGUGAGGCGCGAAAGCGUGGGGAGCAAACAGG